UACGGAGGGAGCUAGCGUUGUUCGGAAUUACUGGGCGUAAAGCGCACGUAGGCGGCUUUGUAAGUUAGAGGUGAAAGCCCGGGGCUCAACUCCGGAAUUGCCUUUAAGACUGCAUCGCUUGAAUCCGGGAGAGGUGAGUGGAAUUCCGAGUGUAGAGGUGAAAUUCGUAGAUAUUCGCAAGAACACCAGUGGCGAAGGCGGCUCACUGGCCCGAUACUGACGCUGAGGCACGAAAGCGUGGGGAGCAAACAGG
Molecule: ribosomal RNA, 253 nt
Filed under: uncultured bacterium
Lineage: Bacteria
Description: partial 16S ribosomal RNA
Rfam family: Bacterial small subunit ribosomal RNA
Source: RNAcentral